Apis florea (little honeybee) is the source of this 874-nucleotide long non-coding RNA. Lineage: Eukaryota; Metazoa; Arthropoda; Insecta; Hymenoptera; Apidae. The record is from RefSeq and is a predicted model, not a curated record.
UCUUCGACGUCUGCGCUCGGUGCUACCGCUUCCGGGACGAUUCGAGGGCACGUGUUCCGGUGUCGGCCAGGAACUCAAACUCGAGCAGGAAUCUCCGACGUCGCUGACUACGCUAUCUCUACCACCGUUACCGGAUCCGGCAGUACUACCUCCACCAGGACCCGGUCCACCGACGCCUGCUGAUCGACCCCUGCUGCUCAGUCCACCGAACAAGCUAAUGUCACCCAAGGGUAGUUGUGUAGUGAGCUAAGCUACCUUUCACCAUGCCAUUUAAAGUGUGCCAAAGAAGAAGUAGGUUAACACUUACGAGGUUACCAACCUAAAGUCGCUAUCAGCUACAAUGGAACAAUUAUGAUCAAGAUCUUCGCUAUCAUCUCCAGAAGUAUGUCCGCUUUGGUUGUCGUGCCGAUGAAUGACCACCACUUCCUCAUCCUCGGAAUCGACAGCGACUCCGUCGCAAGAUCUCUCGACCUCCGCAUCGCUAUCCUGCGACGAGGUCGGCGAAUCGUCUAUCAUCACAUCGUGAACAAGCCUAAUUUCAAGAAUAACAAUUUGGAAAAUUAAUUCAUCGUUCAGUGCACAAAAAUUGAUAGAAAUUUUUCAACAACGAAAUCAAUUACGUCGUGUUUUAACAUGUUUUCCGUGAAAGCAUUUUAAAAAUCGAACGGAUCAAAGUUAACACGUACGAAUUAUCAUAAGAUGCCUCGUCAUAGUCAAGAAAUAAUCGAAUCUUAUUAACAGAUACGAAAAGGAAAACGGAUUGCUCACGUGUAAUUGGAGAGCGGUGCCUUGAGAUGCUGCGGAAGUCUUUCAAAGUAAUGUCGAAAUUCCUCGAACUCGGUGUCGGCCAUUCUGCGGCGAACCAAUGAAAAAC